Molecule: transfer RNA, 93 nt
Filed under: Talaromyces islandicus
Lineage: Eukaryota; Fungi; Ascomycota; Eurotiomycetes; Eurotiales; Trichocomaceae
Also listed under: 1 other name
Description: Penicillium islandicum tRNA
Rfam family: tRNA
About the family: Transfer RNA (tRNA) molecules are approximately 80 nucleotides in length.
Source: Rfam by way of RNAcentral
GGCCCUGUGGUGCAGUGGUAGCACGUUGGCCUCCUAUAUGUUUUCUUGCUUAUAUCUAGCCAAGGGUCUAGGGUUCGAUCCCCUACAGGGUCG